Non-coding RNA from Camellia sinensis, 285 nucleotides. Lineage: Eukaryota; Viridiplantae; Streptophyta; Magnoliopsida; Ericales; Theaceae. The record is from RefSeq and is a predicted model, not a curated record.
AUGGAGAGCAGUCAUCAGACUUGGUGGCUAUGAACAGGUGACUUCCAAAAACGAUCAAGCACAAGGCUGAUGCUUCAAAACCAUAUAUAUUCCUUCAUGUUGUAGAAUUUUUUUUGGAUUCCUUCAUUGAUUUUCCUUUUAAUUUUUGUUCAAUUACUUACUGGUUUUCAAUGGAUGGAUGUUUAAAACUUGUCUCAAUUAAUGUUUUGAAUGGAAUGAUUGUAAAGUUUGGGAUUGAGCAGGAAAAUAUGAUGAAUUUUAAUGUUAUAUUUAGGUUGGGUUGAA